Long non-coding RNA from Aedes albopictus (Asian tiger mosquito), 609 nucleotides. RefSeq lists it as uncharacterized. The record is from RefSeq and is a predicted model, not a curated record. The transcript has 3 exons. NCBI's taxonomy places the organism in Eukaryota, Metazoa, Arthropoda, Insecta, Diptera, Culicidae.
CGAUAGGUAGAACUUAAAAACGUAUCGAUUAGAAUCUACCAUUAAUGUUCGCAUUGAGUGAAUCCAUCUAUUUUUUUGUUUCUAUUUAGCUAAAUUUUUGAUUCAACAAUUUUUCCAAAUUGAACAAAAUACUUCGCAAAAUUUUAUUGUCAACAAAUCUUCACCAUCGUUUCUAUAAAAUAGUUUUGUAGAAUCAAUCAUUUUCGUGUUUUAUGGCCGCCAUCUUGUAUUUGUGAGGUAAACAUUGCAAGUGUUGGAAAAAGUGCAUACGACGAACAAUAAUGGAUUUCUUACAAUUAUGUGAGUUUAUCAAAAAGUAGCAGUUUUUCUUUUGGUUUUUCAUGAUACUCCUGUUGAUAAAGAUCAUUUGAAACAAGGUAGAACAUGUUUUUGUCUCCGGAAAAGAGAAAUCAUAGGAGGGAAGUUCAAGAUCGGAUGAAACAACAGUGACGAUGUUACCGGCUGCAAAGAUUUGUUAAAAGGAAUCGCACCACAUUACUACAUAACGCUGCCAAUAUUUCUAUUGUAGCAGCUUUUCAUCUUGGGCUGUGUAAAUUGUUGAAUAUUGUAUUAUAAAAUCGUUUUGUUUUCUAUUUACAAACAUAUAAA